GAUGAACGCUGGCGGCGUGCUUAACACAUGCAAGUCGAACGGAAAGGCCACAGCUUGCUGUGGUACUCGAGUGGCGAACGGGUGAGUAACACGUGGGUGAUCUGCCCUGUACUUCGGGAUAAGCUUGGGAAACUGGGUCUAAUACCGGAUAGGAAUCACAUGUGGGUGUGUGGUUGGAAAGCUUUUGCGGUAUGGGAUGAGCUCGCGGCCUAUCAGCUUGUUGGUGGGGUAAUGGCCUACCAAGGCGUCGACGGGUAGCCGGCCUGAGAGGGUGUACGGCCACAUUGGGACUGAGAUACGGCCCAGACUCCUACGGGAGGCAGCAGUGGGGAAUAUUGCACAAUGGGCGCAAGCCUGAUGCAGCGACGCCGCGUGGGGGAUGACGGCCUUCGGGUUGUAAACUCCUUUCGUCAGGGACGAAGCGAAAGUGACGGUACCUGGACAAGAAGCACCGGCUAACUACGUG
This 466-nucleotide ribosomal RNA is filed under the name uncultured bacterium. RNAcentral describes it as "partial 16S ribosomal RNA". It matches the Rfam family "Bacterial small subunit ribosomal RNA", at positions 28 to 507 of the family's 1533-position model. The record is from RNAcentral.